GGCUGGUCUGAAGGUAGAGAGUUAUCUCUAUUGAUGGUUCACAGUCAGUUACAGAGCUUGCUCCUUGUUCUCUUUCCCCCCUUCUCACUAUUGCACUUGACUAGUCUUAA
Molecule: Y RNA, 110 nt
Filed under: Prolemur simus (greater bamboo lemur)
Lineage: Eukaryota; Metazoa; Chordata; Mammalia; Primates; Lemuridae
Description: Y RNA (ENSPSMG00000003165.1)
Rfam family: Y RNA
About the family: Y RNAs are components of the Ro ribonucleoprotein particle (Ro RNP), in association with Ro60 and La proteins. The Y RNAs and Ro60 and La proteins are well conserved, but the function of the Ro RNP is not known.
Source: Rfam by way of RNAcentral